RNAcentral lists this ribosomal RNA (189 nucleotides) under uncultured bacterium. RNAcentral describes it as "partial 16S ribosomal RNA". It matches the Rfam family "Bacterial small subunit ribosomal RNA", at positions 328 to 539 of the family's 1533-position model. The record is from RNAcentral.
ACGCUCGACACCUACGGGAGGCAGCAGUGGGGAAUAUUGCACAAGUGGGGGAAACCCUGAUGCAGCGACGCCGCGUGAAGGAAGAGUUGNUGUAUNUAUCUNUGAGNGAGGUAGAACGUGACGUAACGNGACAAGACCGCCGGCUAACUACGUGCCNGCAGCCGCGUAAUCUGAGCGGGCUGGCAAGGC